GUGGGGAAUAUUGGACAAUGGGCGAAAGCCUGAUCCAGCCAUGCCGCGUGUGUGAAGAAGGUCUUCGGAUUGUAAAGCACUUUAAGUUGGGAGGAAGGGCAGUAAGUUAAUACCUUGCUGUUUUGACGUUACCGACAGAAUAAGCACCGGCUAACUUCGUGCCAGCAGCCGCGGUAAUACGAAGGGUGCAAGCGUUAAUCGGAAUUACUGGGCGUAAAGCGCGCGUAGGUGGUUUUGUAAGUUGGAGGUGAAAUCCCCGGGCUCAACCUGGGAAAGGCCACCAAAACUGCAUGACUAGAGUACGGUAGAGGGUAGUGGAAUUUCCUGUGUAGCGGUGAAAUGCGUAGAUAUAGGAAGGAACACCAGUGGCGAAGGCGACUACCUGGACUGAUACUGACACUGAGGUGCGAAAGCGUGGGGAGCAAACAGGAUUAGAAACCCCGGUAGUCC
This 450-nucleotide ribosomal RNA is filed under the name uncultured bacterium. Its description in RNAcentral is "bacterial SSU rRNA". It matches the Rfam family "Bacterial small subunit ribosomal RNA", at positions 354 to 796 of the family's 1533-position model. The record is from RNAcentral.